Long non-coding RNA from Xyrauchen texanus (razorback sucker), 539 nucleotides. RefSeq lists it as uncharacterized. The transcript is spliced from 3 exons. The record is from RefSeq and is a predicted model, not a curated record. NCBI's taxonomy places the organism in Eukaryota, Metazoa, Chordata, Actinopteri, Cypriniformes, Catostomidae.
CUAGUUUCUCACCAUUGCAGACGGCUGAGAAAGAUGAUUUUAUAGAAGUUACUAAUGCUGCAGGAGGAAAUCAGGACACAAAGAAGACUGAAAAUGAUGUGACUGAUCUGAUAUAUCCUCCUGCGCUCAUUGCUGCUGCAUUUGUAGAUGUUCCAUUGGCUGUGUCGGUUCUCUGGUGAUACUCCCUGAAAAAGAAAAUAUCUGUUUACUGAUACCAAAUUAUUACGGAUUGAGGACUGACCAGUAUCAAGACCAGGGGCAAGAGGUGACGACCCAAUGACGGUUAGGACAGGAUGACCCGCUGAAGGAGAGAAGGUGGAAAACAAUUGCGGCCUACAAUACCAAUGAAUAAGAAAGACAUAAUAAUAUGGAUGUUAUUACUGACAUACUUGGGACAAGUGUUGCCCCCAAUGACAGGGCCUACCAGAGAAACGUCCCAAGAAGGACCAGGAUCACCAGAUGAACAAUUAUAAGAAAGCAUACUGCAGAGUGGGUUCCCUACAAUCAGCCUUGGGGAUCUUGGAUGGCCUUUCCAAUGA